GCGCUCGUAGCUCAGCUGGAUAGAGUAUCAGGUUGCGGUCCUGAGGGCCGGAGGUUCGAAUCCUCUCGAGCGCG
Molecule: non-coding RNA, 74 nt
Organism: Spirochaetes bacterium GWF1_41_5
Lineage: Bacteria; Pseudomonadati; Spirochaetota
Source: Rfam